This 460-nucleotide ribosomal RNA is filed under the name uncultured bacterium. RNAcentral describes it as "partial 16S ribosomal RNA". It matches the Rfam family "Bacterial small subunit ribosomal RNA", at positions 338 to 795 of the family's 1533-position model. The record is from RNAcentral.
CCUACGGGAGGCAGCAGUGAGGAAUAUUGGUCAAUGGCCGGAAGUCUGAACCAGCCAUGCCGCGUGAAGGUCAGUGCCCUUUGGGCGUUAAACUUCUUUUGUGCGGGAGCAAUAAUGGUCACGUGUCGCCAGACGAAACUCCCGUACGAAUAAUCAUCGCCUAACUCCGUGCCAGCAGCCGCGGUAAUACGGGGGAUGCAAGCGUUAUUCGGAUUUAUUGGGUUUAAAGUGUGCGUAGGCUGUGAGGUAAGUCAGCGGUGAAAUGCCCCCGCUCAACGGGGUGAAGUGCCAUUGAUACUGCAUGGCUGGAAUGCAGAUGAGGUUGGAGGAAUGUGUGGUGUAGCGGUGAAAUGCAUAGAUAUCAGACAGAACACCGGUUGCGAAGGCAUCUAACGAAUCCGCGAUUGACGCUGAUGCACGAAAGCGUGGGGAUCAAACAGGAUUAGAUACCCCUGUAGUC